UGAAAACUUCACGGCUUCUUCUGUGAAAGCUCAGAUUCUAUGAUAGCUUCACUUCACGUUCAACAUAAUCCUUCGUGAGCUAAUUUGUGAUGAAACCAUUUUGCAAAGUUUCCAAUUUGGGAUUAGUGAUUUCUCAAUAACUUCUUUAAGCUUUCUGUUCACUACUCUAUCCUUCGGUCGAUUGCUUUUAUUUAAGAGGUUUUUGGUGGAACAAUUUUUUCAGAGAUUACGAAUUUUAGAUAUAUAUUGUUGAUAGUCUGGACAGCGAAAGGAUAGGGAAAGGAAAGCAGGAAUUUAAGGUGAUAAAAUCUAAAUGUGCAUACAUACACCAUAAUUUUGCAAAUAGAUUUUGAAUAGAUGUAUGGAUUACUUGUUGACAAUCAUAAAUGAUCCAUUUAUGAUUCAUAGUGUCAUCUUGGUGUUUGCCAACAAACAGGACCUGGUAUGUCUUUUUUUGUAACUUUUUGAUCUCUGAUUUUUUGGCUAAAUGACCUGACAUUUAUGGUUAUCUUCAUAAGUGUGGCUGAACAAAAAAAAAGUGUGAUUGAACAAAAAUCUUUUUCUAUUUUCUGGGUAACAUUUUCUGGCUUAGCAAUAUUAGCAGGCUUGUCAUAAGUAAAAGGCCCGAUCUUGUUGAUUUGGGAAUUUUGUUGUCUUUGUGAAGAGUUGUUGUUGUUUCUUCUGAUUUCCUAUGUGGUCAGUGAAAUCUUGAAUGUGCCUUAGUAUGUCGUUGAGGGUUUUCAAGAUUUU
Cajanus cajan (pigeon pea) is the source of this 750-nucleotide long non-coding RNA. RefSeq lists it as uncharacterized. NCBI's taxonomy places the organism in Eukaryota, Viridiplantae, Streptophyta, Magnoliopsida, Fabales, Fabaceae. The record is from RefSeq and is a predicted model, not a curated record.